Molecule: long non-coding RNA, 1486 nt
Organism: Mytilus californianus (California mussel)
Lineage: Eukaryota; Metazoa; Mollusca; Bivalvia; Mytilida; Mytilidae
Exons: 3
Source: RefSeq, a predicted model, not a curated record
AUAUAAUUAGAGAUCGUAUUAACUUCUCUAUUCACGAAAUAAUCAUCUACUACGAUAGCAGCGUAAAAUAAUUCUAUUGAACUAUUGCUAUUGCGAUCUACGUUUGUCUAUUAACGAUCAGGGCGCAAAGGAAAUUAUACUUAAUUCACGUAAUUAUAAGCUUCUGGUCCAGUGGACGAAGUCAGUUUCAGCAAUCACGGAACUAGCGACAACUACAUGGAGGAAAAACAUGACUUCUCAUUUUAUUGGAAUAAUAAUUCAUCUGUACAUUUGUUUAUUGGAAGCAGUUUGUAAUUCAGAUUCAGAUACUGUUUUAGGACCAGACAUUAACAUUCCACGUGACAAUGUGCAAGUGCAAAUAGGACGUCCGAAAUUUCUGAUCGGCGAAUGCCACGUACAAGGAGCUGCACCAUUGAAUAUAACUUGGAUGAAAAGUGGCAAACUGAUAAUUGAAAAUGAAAAGUUCACUUUGAUUAAGAUUGUAACAGAACAAAAUACAAAUACUUAUCAGCUUUGGAUAACAGAAAUGGCGUUAGAAGAUUUUGGACAAUAUACUUGCUCCGCCACAAAUUUGUACGGCACUAAGAAGAAAAAUGUUUUUGUAAAACGUGCAGAAGAACGUGAAACAAGACAGGAAUCUCAGUCUAAUUUUGCAGAUAAACAUUAUUUCAAUAUAACUGUAUUUCUUACUUGUUUUGCUGUUAUAAUACAUCUUUGAUCUAAAUUUGUUGAAACAAUUGUUGGUGUAAGAAAGACAGCUGACUAGAUUAAUGCAGUCUGGUUUAUAUAUAAAGGUAUACAAAUAUUCUCCUGAUACCUCCAAUGCCUUAUGUUGUGAAAAUGUCACACUCUCUUCACUUGAAAGACCCUUGUAACAACCUCUGGAGGAAUACUUAUACUACUUUUUGAAUGAAAAAAUUUCAUUCCGACCGACUUGCUUUGCAGAACUUUCCUAAUAGAUACACUUAUUAAUUUUUUUCGUCCUACAAAUGCAUGAACUAUUUGUCACUGGACGUUUAACAAACUCCUCAAACCAUUUACUUUUAGUACACUGAAUUUGAGUACCUAUUUUUUAUUUUUGUCAAUCAUUUGGUUUUUUUUUAUCAAUAUGUUUUCCUAAAAAAAAACAACAAACGUGCCUGCUGAUUAUGAAUAUAGUGGUAUCUUGUAUAGCAUUAUAGUUUUGGAUUCGAUAAUUUUCUUAAAAAUAUCCUUUGGUUCAAGAUUCCUAAAGACUCUGCUUUGGUUGGAGUGCUUUGAAUUUCACAGUGUGAUGUGCAAUGUGGUUUCUGGUUGCAGUUUUGUAAAUAGCUGUGUUGAGAACAAUAUGUGUCAUUCAUUUGUAUAUUAAAUAAUUUUUAUUUUAUUAUGUCUAAUUAUAUGCAUCAUUUUCAUUUGUCAAUAUUUUUUUAUAUAGUCGUGUAUAUGUAUGAGUUAUUUACAUAGUAAAACUAAAUUUAAAGAAAUGAAUAAAAGUGCUAGAAAA